GCCCUGGUGACACAACAGUUAUGUGCUCAGCUGCUACCUGAAAGACUGGUGGUUUGAAUCCACUCAGCGGCU
This 72-nucleotide transfer RNA is filed under the name Loxodonta africana (African savanna elephant). It matches the Rfam family "tRNA". From Rfam's summary of the family: Transfer RNA (tRNA) molecules are approximately 80 nucleotides in length. Their secondary structure includes four short double-helical elements and three loops (D, anti-codon, and T loops). The record is from Rfam by way of RNAcentral. Lineage: Eukaryota; Metazoa; Chordata; Mammalia; Proboscidea; Elephantidae.